This is a small nuclear RNA of Dermacentor silvarum, 183 nucleotides long. RefSeq annotates it as U2 spliceosomal RNA. The transcript has a single exon. The record is from RefSeq and is a predicted model, not a curated record. NCBI's taxonomy places the organism in Eukaryota, Metazoa, Arthropoda, Arachnida, Ixodida, Ixodidae.
AUGGCCGACGCGGGUCAAAGUGCAAUAUCUGUUCUUAUUAGCUUAAUAUCUGAAACGGGUUGUAUUUGGACCUAAGAUAUUAAACUCAUUUUUGCAAGUUGGCGGAGUGCUUGAAGCCUGUUUCACCUCCGCUACAGGUCAGCCUGGUAUUGCUCUAUCUUCAGGAUUUUUGGUCUACGGACA